This 212-nucleotide ribosomal RNA is filed under the name uncultured bacterium. RNAcentral describes it as "partial 16S ribosomal RNA". It matches the Rfam family "Bacterial small subunit ribosomal RNA", at positions 550 to 801 of the family's 1533-position model. The record is from RNAcentral.
UUUACUGGGCGUAAAGAGAGUGUAGGCGGCUCACCCCCGGAAGUGCGCUGGAAACUGGUUAGCUAGAGUAUGGGAGAGGGAAGUGGAAUUCCUGGUGUAGCGGUGAAAUGCGUAGAUAUCAGGAGGAACACCGGCGGCGAAGGCGGAUACUGACGCUGAGGCGCGAAAGCGUGGGGAGCAAACAGGAUUAGAUACCCCGGUAGUCACUGGCG